This 429-nucleotide ribosomal RNA is filed under the name Chloroflexota bacterium. RNAcentral's name for it is "Chloroflexi bacterium partial 16S ribosomal RNA". It matches the Rfam family "Bacterial small subunit ribosomal RNA", at positions 355 to 776 of the family's 1533-position model. Lineage: Bacteria; Bacillati; Chloroflexota. The record is from RNAcentral.
UAGGGAAUCUUCGGCAAUGGACGAAAGUCUGACCGAGCAACGCCGCGUGAGUGAAUAAGGUUUUCGGAUCGUAAAACUCUGUUGUUAGAGAAGAACAAGGACGUUAGUAACUGAACGUCCCCUGAUGGUAUCUAACCAGAAAGCCACGGCUAACUACGUGCCAGCAGCCGCGGUAAUACGUAGGUGGCAAGCGUUGUCCGGAUUUAUUGGACGUAAAGCGAGCGCAGGCGGUUUCUUAAGUCUGAUGUGAAAGCCCCCGGCUCAACCGGGGAGGGUCAUUGGAAACUGGGAGACUUGAGUGCAGAAGAGGAGAGUGGAAUUCCAUGUGUAGCGGUGAAAUGCGUAGAGAUGUGGAGGAAUACCGGUGGCGAAGGCGGCCCCCUGGACAAAGACUGACGAUCAGGUGCGAAAGCGUAGGGAGCAAACAGG